CUCCUCCAUUGACGAACACCACUGAGACCACACUUUUAAAUUUUAUUUUAUUUUUAAAGAAGAAGAAGAAAAAGACGAAGAAGAAGUGCAACCAGGAAUUGCAACCAACCUCAUCCGAUGGAUAGAUAAAUAUAUUCGUAAUCAGAUCUGGACAAUUCAAUCAACCGAGGACAGACGCUACGACAGUCGACAAAGGCUGGUUUGCUUCACGAGACUAAGCUGCUUUCAGUACUCAGUUCCUCAGACGUAGAAGAAGAAGAAGCCAUGAUCAUAACAUCCUACCAGUAGUUGCGGC
Arabidopsis thaliana (thale cress) is the source of this 295-nucleotide RNA transcript. RefSeq lists it as uncharacterized. The transcript is spliced from 2 exons. Lineage: Eukaryota; Viridiplantae; Streptophyta; Magnoliopsida; Brassicales; Brassicaceae. The record is from RefSeq.